CGAAAGCCGACGGUUCUCCGCCCAGGUCUUUAAGGCCCUGCCUACCCCCGGGCCGGAUGCAACUCUGCCCAGCUCUGAGAAGAGGGCAGGAUGCAGGUUGUAAGCCUAGUGAUCCACAAGAGGCUGAUUUUUCACACAUUAACCUCACUGUCUUCACAUCAAUACCAAGAGGCACUGACUCGCACAGACCAACCGAUCGUGAGGCGGACAAGGGAGAUCACAGUGCUGUCUGCUCUGGGCUGGGCCUGGAGCGAUCUUCCAUCCCCGGGCCAAAAGGCCAUGGUCCCUAUUCUCUUAGCAGCACUGCCAAGAGAUGGCUGAGGGGAAUGGUUGAGGAGGCCUGUUCUGGAGCGCCACCACUUACCAGCUGUGUUACUUGAACUAAUGAACCUCCUAGAACCUCACUUUUACCCGAUAAAAUGAGGACCAUGAUGAUGUGAAAUGCAUAGACCCAUUGUAUUAAAACUAAUCAACAAAAAAUCGUGAAUGGCUCCUACGUGUUAGGAACAAAGUUCAAGUCCUAGCUAG
This 528-nucleotide long non-coding RNA is filed under the name Equus caballus (horse). RNAcentral's name for it is "lncRNA (ENSECAG00000047289.1)". Lineage: Eukaryota; Metazoa; Chordata; Mammalia; Perissodactyla; Equidae. The record is from RNAcentral.